ACCCUAACCAAAUUCUGUGCCUCUCUUCCUUGCCUUCCCUUUGCAAUGGCCUACAAGAAAUGUAGAACAUUUUACCAAGAUCAAUGAGAAGGUAAGGUGACACACUAUGCAUAAAUUGAACAAAAGGUUCACACAAAAUCAUAACCAUAGUGAUAGCAAAUUGCACACAUAUAUUGCGACAAAUACAAUCAACCAGGGUAUACGUCUCACUUGAUUGUUUAAGUCUAAAUUGUAAAGCUACAAGAGAGCAAAUAAUCUCUUCUCUCUUGGCAUUAUCAUAUAGAUUAGGUCUUAAGGAAACAUGAACAGUGAACACAUCUGAAUAAGGUACUGUUUAAUUGCUUGUUAGUCAAUCACUAAGAAAAGAUAUGAAUUCUGCAAGAAAUUGACAAGCCAUCCUUUUCCUGCAAUAAAAGAGCAUAAUAAAUCCAAAAUUAUGAAAAAUAUACAUCUGGUAGAACUGUCAGGUUUAACAUUUUAAGAACCAUUUUCAUGAUAUUUUGAUCCAUGUUCAAUUAUAAGCAACCUGUUAGGUGCGGAUGAAAAAAUGGUUUCAUCACCAAACUAGUACUAAAAAUAAUAUUUCCCACAAAGGAAGCUUGUCACCUAGCUAUAACAGCACUGCCAAGGGCUAAUAGCUCUCCAUAUCUACCGGAGUUGAAUGAUUCGAUCUUUUGAAGUUGGGGUUCCCGAUAAAGUUUGAUGGGCUGAUUGACUUGAUUCCUAGCAACAGCUCGAUACAAAUUCACUCAUGCCUUGCAUCAAAUUGUGCGCUCUUAAGGAUGUUUGCAUUAGAACUAGAAAUAGGAAGCCCCUACAAAUGGCUGGCUAAGAUUAUUGUAUGCUUAUACCUUAAUUAUUACAGUAUAUUGUGCAUUAACUUAGUUUGUCCCCCAAGCAAUCCCACAUCAAAACAGUUAAACUUCAGCUUAAUGGGGAUGGAUUCUCAGAACUAUGCAACUUCCAUUUUUAGCUGCAUUUUUAUUUGGCCUAGUUGUUCUCUGGCCUUUCAUAACUACAGUUUGAUCAAGAAAACUGAUGUAUGAAGGAUUUUCAGAUCAUCUUUUAUCAUCAAGUCUUGUAUUUCACUAGAAAAUUACUUAAGAUAUUCUCUGGAACCCACAAAAUAUGUUUGUAUACAAUGCCAAUGAGGAUAAAUGUACGACACGUACUCUGGAACUUAACAAGCAGAUUUAUUUUCCUAUCUAUAAU
Molecule: long non-coding RNA, 1212 nt
Filed under: Musa acuminata (dwarf banana)
Lineage: Eukaryota; Viridiplantae; Streptophyta; Magnoliopsida; Zingiberales; Musaceae
Description: long non-coding RNA (MACU_LNC001064)
Source: RNAcentral